CAGAGUACCUUGUUUAUACAAGGAAAGGGCGGGACCAUGAAAGUGAAAGCGUUCAGUUUGUUCAGUCUCCAUUUUAAGACAGAGCAGACGGAGGAAAAGUGAAGGCUGAGGCAGGUCGUGACUGGCUGAAUAAUUCACAUUAAACCUGCUGAAAUCAAGAAAACAAGCAGAGAUUUAAAGAAACCUGACCAGUCAGUGUUACUGUUUCACCUCUCAGACUGACUGAAGACAGAAGAUGAUUGACUGUGAGGAGGAAGAGGAGGACAGAGCAGAGUCUGCAGUAUCCAGCUGUCUGUCUAUGAAGAGUAACCAGUCCAAAGAUUAUCCUUUAGCCUUCAGAGAUGAACCUGGACCCUCAGACACAAAAGUUCAGUCCAACAGACAGAGAGCAGAGUCUCCAGUAUCCAGCUGUCUGUC
This is a long non-coding RNA of Larimichthys crocea (large yellow croaker), 417 nucleotides long. RefSeq lists it as uncharacterized. Lineage: Eukaryota; Metazoa; Chordata; Actinopteri; Sciaenidae. The transcript is spliced from 4 exons. The record is from RefSeq and is a predicted model, not a curated record.